This 448-nucleotide ribosomal RNA is filed under the name uncultured bacterium. Its description in RNAcentral is "bacterial SSU rRNA". It matches the Rfam family "Bacterial small subunit ribosomal RNA", at positions 355 to 825 of the family's 1533-position model. The record is from RNAcentral.
UGGGGAAUAUUGGACAAUGGGCGAAAGCCUGAUGCAGCGACGCCGCGUGGGGGAUGAAGGCCUUAGGGUCGUAAACCCCUUUCAGCAGGGACGAAAAUGACGGUACCUGCAGAAGAAGCCCCGGCCAACUACGUGCCAGCAGCCGCGGUAAGACGUAGGGGGCGAGCGUUGUCCGGAUUUAUUGGGCGUAAAGAGCUCGUAGGCGGUUGCGUAAGUCGGAUGUGAAAACUCAGGGCUCAACCCUGAGACGCCAUCCGAUACUGCGCUGACUUGAAUCCAGUAGGGGAGUGUGGAAUUCCUGGUGUAGCGGUGAAAUGCGCAGAUAUCAGGAGGAACACCCAUGGCGAAGGCAGCACUCUGGGCUGGUAUUGACGCUGAGGAGCGAAAGCAUGGGUAGCGAACAGGAUUAGAUACCCACGUAGUCCCUGAGCGGGCUGGCAAGGCGCAU